Molecule: transfer RNA, 73 nt
Filed under: Amazona aestiva (blue-fronted amazon)
Lineage: Eukaryota; Metazoa; Chordata; Aves; Psittaciformes; Psittacidae
Also listed under: 1 other name
Rfam family: tRNA
About the family: Transfer RNA (tRNA) molecules are approximately 80 nucleotides in length. Their secondary structure includes four short double-helical elements and three loops (D, anti-codon, and T loops).
Source: Rfam by way of RNAcentral
GAGCUGGUGGUAUAGUGGUGAGCAUAGCUGCCUUCCAAAGCAGUUGACUCAGGUUCGGUUCCUGGCCAACACA